RNAcentral lists this ribosomal RNA (252 nucleotides) under uncultured bacterium. RNAcentral describes it as "partial 16S ribosomal RNA". It matches the Rfam family "Bacterial small subunit ribosomal RNA", at positions 524 to 776 of the family's 1533-position model. The record is from RNAcentral.
UACGGAGGAUGCGAGCGUUAUCCGGAUUUAUUGGGUUUAAAGGGUGCGCAGGCGGAUUUUUAAGUCAGCGGUCAAAUCGUGGGGCUCAACCCCAUCCAGCCGUUGAAACUGGGGAUCUAGAGUGUGCGAGAGGUAUGCGGAAUGCGUGGUGUAGCGGUGAAAUGCAUAGAUAUCACUCAGAACCCCGAUUGCGAAGGCAGCAUACCGGUGCACAACUGACGCUCAGGCACGAAAGCGUGGGUAUCGAACAGG